CUAUAAAUUUUACGCUAAUAAAACUAAAAUAAAUACAAAAUUCGUGCAACGCACGAGAACGCACGAGACACAGACUAGUAUAUAUAAAAUAAGCAUUAGUUACAUGAAACUAGCGCAUAUGCUGCUAAAUACUUUUCCAAAAGCCUUUUGGAAAAUCUAAAACAAAAGAAAGUAAGCCAAUAACUGAUUAUUUUAAAGAGGCAAAAUUAUCUCAAUGUUUGACAUUAAAUUAAGGUAACAUGGACCUAAUAACUCAACUUAUAUACACCUUCAUACUCAUAAAACUUAGAUUCAUUAGAUAAAUUAAUCAAGCAUUCGAAAUCAGAAUCAAGUAGGAGUUGAGCUUAUUUUUCCAAGUUGCUCUGAUAUAUUAUAUAGACACAGAUGUAUUUAUGUACCGUAUAUAAUUGUUUGUCUCGUGUUGAUGAAGAUAUCCAGUUUAUGUAGCCUCAGAUGCACACUUUUUUUUUUCCCUUUAUUGGUUUUGUCAAAUGAAGUAAGAAAACCUGCAGAAUGGAGGAAGAAUAAAAGACCAAGGUUCAAAUAAUGAAAGCAAUUUAAAUAGAAGCUACAAAAGUUUCAGUUAUAUCCAUUACAAGAAAAAAAUUCUAACCGUAUAUCAAAAUUGUUGCUCAAAAAAAAGAUAAGCUGUUCCAGAAAGAAUAUAAGUAUAAACUGGAGGAUUUUGCAAGCUUUCUUACAGAGAAUAAUGAGAUAACUGCACACAAUUAAUUUUAUUAAAAACAUAGAAAAAACCUCUUAUACAGCAAUAUUGAUUACCUCACUACAUAAAGCCAUAUGGCAUUAAAAUAUGAUUUGGAAAGGAAUUCAAUUCGAAGUAUGUGCACAAGAGUAAUAGACGUAAUACUGGACCACAAUAUCUCCUUUGAAAUGGAAAACGAUCAUAAAAAUUUACCAUGUCGAUCACUUUCAACUUAGUUCUUUCACAUCUAAUUUUUGCUUACUUGAGAAGUGCCUGAUAGAACAUCAAAAAAUAGUUAGUUAACUGAAAAUAUAGUCAAAAUAAGGUGCUUGCAGAUGUGAUGCUGUGCAAGUGGAAACGAAUUAACUUCGGCACCAGAUUAUAUAUUGCUCUUCAAAGGGUAUCUUACUUAUAUCCUUGCACAAUAAUUAUUACUCGGAACAUUUAAAAGCCUUUCUGGCCAAAAAGAAAAGAAUUUUAACAUGCUAGUUGGUGUAAAUAAUCAUCUUUUACUUGAAAACAUCAAAAGGGAAGACGUAAGCUUUUGUUAUAUGCUAGUAAUUUCAAAGUGAAUAGAUGUAACGAACAUAUCACAAUGUAAAUGAAAACAGACCAUGAAAAUCUCUCUAGAGUUGCAGUCAAUUAUAGCAGCAUAAUUAAUAAACAUUUUAGGGACAAAAUUUGAAACGACAAUAAGUUUACCGACAGUGGUUAAACUGUCGUUCAUGAAUACAAGCUUUAGCUUUGUUAGGUCAGCAAUCAGCUCAACAAAUUUUCCAAGUUUUGAAUAAGC
Molecule: long non-coding RNA, 1496 nt
Filed under: Olea europaea subsp. europaea
Lineage: Eukaryota; Viridiplantae; Streptophyta; Magnoliopsida; Lamiales; Oleaceae
Source: RNAcentral